Mauremys mutica (yellowpond turtle) is the source of this 387-nucleotide long non-coding RNA. RefSeq lists it as uncharacterized. Lineage: Eukaryota; Metazoa; Chordata; Testudines; Geoemydidae. The record is from RefSeq and is a predicted model, not a curated record. The transcript has 3 exons.
AUGUGAUCAGGAGUGCACUCACAAGAUUGUACCUCCCGUGAAGGCCCUUCAUCCAGACCGCCUGGCCAGUGGUUUGCCAUGUUGCAUUUCAUCAUGCCUUGGGAAGACUUACCUUCAUCGCACCGUCCAUCGCUGCGCUGGGGGACACUUAUCUUGAAGGAUCCUGACAUCUCCGGUGCUGUGCCUGUCCUGGGAGCGUGAGUAUACAAGUACACUGCGUUACUUGCAUCACCUGUUGCUGUCAGAAUGGCUGAAGUGGGAGCCAUGAAAUUGACAACUCCAGUGACAAGUGUGAAGCCCUACGUUGCCACAGAUUUAGAUGAACAUUACUAAUAAUUAAUGCACCACCAAUCAAUGAGCACUUUCAGUGCCUCAGACUCCCAAAGC